This 618-nucleotide ribosomal RNA is filed under the name uncultured bacterium. RNAcentral describes it as "bacterial SSU rRNA". It matches the Rfam family "Bacterial small subunit ribosomal RNA", at positions 566 to 1182 of the family's 1533-position model. The record is from RNAcentral.
CGCGCGCAGGCGGCUUCUUAAGUCUGAUGUGAAAGCCCACGGCUCAACCGUGGAGGGUCAUUGGAAACUGGGGAGCUUGAGUGCAGAAGAGGAGAGUGGAAUUCCACGUGUAGCGGUGAAAUGCGUAGAGAUGUGGAGGAACACCAGUGGCGAAAGCGGCUCUCUGGUCUGUAACUGACGCUGAGGCGCGAAAGCGUGGGGAGCAAACAGGAUUAGAUACCCUGGUAGUCCACGCCGUAAACGAUGAGUGCUAGGUGUUAGGGGGGUCCAACCCCUUAGUGCUGAAGUUAACACAUUAAGCACUCCGCCUGGGGAGUACGACCGCAAGGUUGAAACUCAAAGGAAUUGACGGGGGCCCGCACAAGCAGUGGAGCAUGUGGUUUAAUUCGAAGCAACGCGAAGAACCUUACCAGGUCUUGACAUCCUCUGACAACCCUAGAGAUAGGGCGUUCCCCUUCGGGGGACAGAGUGACAGGUGGUGCAUGGUUGUCGUCAGCUCGUGUCGUGAGAUGUUGGGUUAAGUCCCGCAACGAGCGCAACCCUUGAUGUUAGUUGCCAGCAUUGAGUUGGGCACUCUAACGUGACUGCCGGUGACAAACCGGAGGAAGGUGGGGAUGG